CGGCAGCAUUCAUUACAGACUGUAGCAGAGCAAUACGGCUUUUGGGAAGACCAAUUAGGAGAGGGUUACAAUAAUCCAUGAGGAAAAUUACUAGAGCAGUUCACGUUCUUUCUGCCUUACAGUGCAAGAUCUCUUCUAAUGGACAAGUUACAAAACCAUGUACCAUAGAUGCUGGCACACAGAAUGUAUCUUUACAGUGCUUGCUGUGAGUAUUGUCUGCAAAAAGAGUAUUGAAAAGGUUGGAGUUCAGGGAAAUGUCUGGUUAAGCUCUUUAGCAGAAUCUUGUGUAAGAAAGGGGCGGAUGCGGGCUAUGUUUUUAAGGUGGAGUCUACAGGAUUUGGUAACACAAUGGAUGUGAGGCCAUAAUUAUAAAGCCAAGACCGCGUGCUUGCAAGGAUGCACAGGUGUGGGUACCACUAACUUGAAGGGAGAGUGAAAGAGGAGGAUCAGUAUUAGGAGGAGGAAAGACAAGGAGUUCCGUUUUAGAGGGGGAG
Non-coding RNA from Pelobates cultripes (western spadefoot toad), 494 nucleotides. Lineage: Eukaryota; Metazoa; Chordata; Amphibia; Anura; Pelobatidae. The record is from the annotation of a GenBank genome assembly.